This 219-nucleotide unclassified non-coding RNA is filed under the name soil metagenome. RNAcentral describes it as "partial contains 5.8S ribosomal RNA, internal transcribed spacer 2, and large subunit ribosomal RNA". The record is from RNAcentral.
AACGGUCUAUACCUGCGGUACCUGCGGAGGGAUCAUUACCGAGUGUAACCCCCCGAUAAAAAGGGGGGUACCUCCCGUCCUUUGCUGGGUCCCCUUUGGGGGCUUUCGACUUCUGCUUCGGCGGGGUUACCCGCCGGAACACACUCAAAAAUCUUUUGUUAAACUGUUCAGUCCGAGGGCCUUUAAAAAUUUAUGAAAAACUUUCAACAACGGAUCUCU